GACGAACGCUGGCGGCGUGCUUAACACAUGCAAGUCACGGGGGCUCGCAAGGGCAACCGGCGAACGGGUGCGUAACACGUGAGCAACCUACCUCGAUGUGGGGGAUAGCCGGCCCAACGGCCGGGUAAUACCGCAUACGAUCGUGACGGGGAGUCCCGUUACGAGGAAACCUCCGGGGCAUUGAGAGGGGCUCGCGGCCUAUCAGCUAGUUGGCGGUGUAAUGGACCACCAAGGCGACGACGGGUAGCUGGUCUGAGAGGAUGGCCAGCCACAUUGGGACUGAGAGACGGCCCAGACUCCUACGGGAGGCAGCAGUGGGGAAUCUUGCGCAAUGGCCGAAAGGCUGACGCAGCGACGCCGCGUGUGGGAUGAAGCAUUUCGGUGUGUAAACCACUGUUGCCCGGGACGAACAGCUUCUUUCGAGGAGCCUGACGGUACCGGGUGAGGAAGCACCGGCUAACUCCGUGCCAGCAGCCGC
Molecule: ribosomal RNA, 478 nt
Filed under: uncultured bacterium
Lineage: Bacteria
Description: bacterial SSU rRNA
Rfam family: Bacterial small subunit ribosomal RNA
Source: RNAcentral